UUCAAGCAUGUCUAUGCUGCAUUUCUAUAAACGCGACUACAGGACCCAGUAUAAAUGAAAAAAAAAAAAAAAAAUACCCCUGAGUUCUUCGAACACCUUAAGCCACUAUCUGUCUAACCCUUUCAAACUCCUUAAGCCGUGGUUAGACCCAAUCUGCAACUCCCAACUAUUCAUGCCCUCUCUACCACCGAUCCUACUCACCGGCGCCGACAAAGCCCAAUCCUCCAUCACCAGCGUUGCCUUGGGUCUCUCCCUUUCUCUCUCCAACUCUCAAUCUCACUUAAGACACUUUCACCAUCUCUCUCACUCUCUCCCUUUGACUCCCAAACCCUCACCUUCAACCCACUCCUCUCUACCACCGAUCCCCUUCACCGGCACACGAGCACUCUUCUUCGUCUUUGUUCACCUUCUUUCCCACUCUUUCCCUUUGACUCCCAAACCCUCACCUUCGAUCCUUAUCUCGAUGACAUAUUUUUGAUCCUCCUGACCAUGCUGCUGUCGACAAAGCCCAGGCCUCCUAACAUUGGCACUUUUCAAGAAUAGGAAGAAAGAGAAUCUCUUUGCAAAUCGGGGGGUUUCAGGUUGGAGACAUUGAGCCACCUGCGAUUCUUUUUCAACUUCCACUGCUUGCUGAAGAUAAGGUGUUGUACGCAGGUAUAGGGAGGAGAAAACGGCAAUUGUCGUUUGUUUACGUUGGCGAAGGAUCGUCACAUUCCCGACAAAGGGUGGAGGCACAAGAUGAGGAAGCCUAUAUUUCUGAGGAGGCAAGACCGGUUGCGAGUGACGCUGAGACAUAGCUCUUAGGUACUUAACAUGUCUUCGAAUAAAAAUCAUAUUGGUUGAUCUAGACCUUGAAUUCUUUAACCUGCACAAGAUGGCCCCGCCAAUUCAAUGCUAAUACACUCCGCACAACUCACACUCAAGUGGUAUUGUGGUAAGGCAAAGUGAACGAGGUAGUUGACUAUAAGACUCCCACCACCCUGGGGUCACUAAUACAUUAUUAGAUCAACUUGUCAUCUUUGUUGUUGCUAGCUUGUCAUUAAGACUAAAAAUUGUCAAAGUAGGCUACUAAUGCAUUUGUCUUAUCUCAUCCAUACAUUACACUUCGUCUCCCUUAAAAAAACAUUUCGAACACUUUCAUUGUCUAUUAAUAUGC
This is a long non-coding RNA of Quercus robur (English oak), 1156 nucleotides long. RefSeq lists it as uncharacterized. NCBI's taxonomy places the organism in Eukaryota, Viridiplantae, Streptophyta, Magnoliopsida, Fagales, Fagaceae. The transcript is spliced from 4 exons. The record is from RefSeq and is a predicted model, not a curated record.